Molecule: ribosomal RNA, 253 nt
Filed under: uncultured bacterium
Lineage: Bacteria
Description: partial 16S ribosomal RNA
Rfam family: Bacterial small subunit ribosomal RNA
Source: RNAcentral
UACGGAGGAGGCAAGCGUUAUCCGGAAUUAUUGGGCGUAAAGCGUCCGUAGGUGGCUAGUCAAGUCUGCGGUCAAAGACUGGGGCUUAACCCUGGAAAGGCCGUGGAAACUGACGAGCUAGAGUGCAGUAGGGGUAGAGGGAAUUCCCGGUGUAGCGGUGAAAUGCGCAGAUAUCAGGAGGAACACCGGUGGCGAAGGCGGUUCUCUGGGAAUGUCCUGACGCUGAGGAGCGAAAGUGUGGGGAGCGAACAGG